Molecule: long non-coding RNA, 1506 nt
Organism: Rhinolophus ferrumequinum (greater horseshoe bat)
Lineage: Eukaryota; Metazoa; Chordata; Mammalia; Chiroptera; Rhinolophidae
Exons: 3
Source: RefSeq, a predicted model, not a curated record
CGCCGCAGGAGCUGCGAGGUGCUGGUCCGCGGGGGCGCGCGGGCCGCAGAGGUGGCGGAGGCAACGGUGGGGCGAACGCGGUGCCGCGCUGGCCGAGAGUGAUGUCUGUUGAUGGAAUAGCUGGGAAGCAACAAAAUCAGGAAACGUGGCUCAGUCCAUAAUUUAGGUAGGACCUCUCGGAGGAAAGACUGUAUGAGAACAAAACAGCCAUCUGCAAGCCGGGAAGAGAGACCUCAGCAGAACCAAAUCCUGCCAGAAACUGGAUCUUGGACUUUGUAGUCUCCACAAAUGUGAGAACAUAAAUCUCCCCUGUUUAAGCCAUUCAGUCUGUGUUCGUUUGUUAUGGCAGCCCAAGCAGACUAAUACACGUCCCAAGACCACACUUCGAGCAAUCAGCACUCUACAAGAGAGGUAAAACAGGUGUGGUCUGCAAUCCAGCAGCAUCUGCUUCAUGGGGAGCUUGUCAGAAAUUCAGAAUCUGGAGCCCUGCUCCAGACCUCCAGAAUGAGUUAUUCUCAUUUUAACAACAUCCUCAAGUGGUUCCAGGUAUGCAGAUUAAAACUGGAGCAGUGCUGCUCACAGACAGUUCAUGCUGUGUUUACCUCAGUCUCCUUGGAAGCACCCACUGGCAUGAAAGGAGACUCCUGUUAAAAUUACAACCAAUUCACUUGCCUCCUAAUGAGACAAACCCAUUUUUACUUUUGUGCCAGUCCCUACUCAAAUGGAUGGAAUUGUUUACUGCCUCAAUAGCUUUCAAGCAGCCAAUAUCCACAACCUAGAUCAUCUGACUAUAUUUGCAAAUUGCUUUGCGGUUCUUGAUCUCUCGUGAGAGAGAUCUACUUUGCGAUUUUCACAUUAAAGGGGAUCUUCACAGGCCAUGAAGAUAAAAAAUGAGGUAACCAUUUUAGGGCAGGAGGGUUCAUUCUAACAUUCCUGUAGAAUUUCUAUAUUCAGUAGCUGAUUUGGUCUUUACAACUCUGAAAGGUAGACAGGUCAGGUUUAAUUAUCCCCAUUUUUCAGAUGAAGAAACUAAAGCCCAUGGAAAGUAAGUGACUUACUCAAAUUUUCACAAGGAGCAUAGGAUGCAGCCAGGACCCAAACCUUCAUCAUCUGACAUCUUUCAGCACUUGGGGCUAUAAGCCUUGCCAAGUUUAUAUAAGCUGGAGUUCUGCCAAAUGAACUGUAAUUCUCGAGACACCAACAUUCUGAUUUGCCUUGCAACUUCGUCUUGCAGGAUAAGUCCAUAUUAUAAAGUUAUUAUAUUGCUUAGCUGCAUUUCCUGUCUUGGGAACUUCAGGAAAUCCAGUGGCUACAUUCUCUAUAUGGCAAGCGAAGUGAUUAGGGGAUUUGCUCUGGAAUGGAGAUUUAAUUAAACCAGAGAGCUCAGCAACUAUUUAAAGCUAAUAUCCUUAAUGAAGUUCAUGCUAAAGAGGUUUUACCUAAAUUCCCUAUCCCUAGGUUCUGUAUUUGAACUGUAUGUUCUAAUUGGGAAAUAGCUUCAUUAAA